Molecule: ribosomal RNA, 301 nt
Filed under: uncultured bacterium
Lineage: Bacteria
Description: partial 16S ribosomal RNA
Rfam family: Bacterial small subunit ribosomal RNA
Source: RNAcentral
CAGUAGCCACGGUAAUACGAAGGGUGCAAGCGUUAAUCGGAAUUACUGGGCGUAAAGCGUGCGUAGGCGGUUUGUUAAGUCUGUUGUGAAAUCCCCGGGCUCAACCUGGGAAUGGCAAUGGAUACUGGCAAGCUAGAGUGUGUCAGAGGAUUGUGGAAUUCCCGGUGUAGCGGUGAAAUGCGUAGAGAUCGGGAGGAACAUCAGUGGCGAAGGCGGCCAUCUGGGACAACACUGACGCUGAGGCACGAAAGCGUGGGGAGCAAACAGGAUUAGAUACCCCCGUAGUCCCUGUCUCUUAUAC